UACUUAUAUUUUUUUGCUUAGUGUGUUUAAUAAAUAAAUAAAGUGGCUAUGCUCAUCUGUAUCUAAAUAAAACUUAAGCAUGGAUAUGAUGAAUAGUUGCUCUGCCUAAUUUGCACAUUUUAAGUUCUCUCUCAAGUUUAGAUAUAACUGUUAUAAUUUAAAGCUUGCUCUAGAUCUAAACUUGUGGGAUGAAAAUUUGAUCUGAAGUCUAAGUUGUUAACGGAUACGAUAUGGGAAGGUUGAGUUGCUGUUUAUCUGUUCGUAGAGAAGCUAGAAUUCUGGAGAAUUUUAUCUUUGAAAAUCUUUAAAAUGUUGCAUGAUGAGUUCCUGUAUGAUGAGAGUUUAAAUUCCUACCACAGCCAUAUAUACAUGCUUGCUAGACUUUGAGCCACACAUUUACUAUUUACUGCUUAUGAGCAUUGAGUGUGGUCAAGCUGUGUAGACCCUUAGGAGCUUGUCAUGUGGUUAAAUCAAGAUUCACUUGCACAUUUACUCAUAUAUGUUACUUCUACUCCGGAAGUACCAUCCACAUAUAUCCACCCAUUCCAUCUCUAGAACCACUCAAAAAUAUUCUACUCCUAAUCCGGGAGAGAAUAGCCAAAAAUAUUUAUGUUUUCCCUUGUGAAAUAAAUGCUCAAGUUAUCUUGUUACUACCACUUGCUAUAUUAUCUCAUGAGAUGAGUGCUCUAAAAAAAUGAAAAAAAGAAAAAAGAAAAAAAAUAUAAAUACGAGGAAAUAAAAAGGAGCAAGUGCUCGGAACCUCGAAAGAAAAGAAAAAGUGAGACGAGAGGUAAAAAUGGACAAGUGUCCGACAGUAGAAUUAGGGGUACAAGAUACCCACCUGAGAGAAAAGAAAAAGAAGAGCAUCUCAUUCUCCUUAUAAAGUUUCAAAAGCAAGGAAGGUAUGUAUUCCCUAAAAGAGCAAAGUAGAAUUAGACUUCCACCACCAUUGUUAUCACCAUCAUCACCAUACACCAUUCAUUCGCCACACAUGCAUAUCUUGAUUUGACUUAUUGAUUUGUUUCUUUGGAUCCAUGGUUUGACUAUACAAUAAAUGUCUUGUAAGUAUGUAUAUUUUAUCUCCCACCUAUGAGCUCCAGAUAUUAAAAGCCUUAUUAGAGUAAGGUGAGAGAGAAGGCAAUGUCACUAUGCCUCAUACCACAAAUACUACAUAUAUUGAGAGAAGGCAUAUACCAUCACUGCCUUGGUAAGGAUCCAGAAAUACCACAAAAGAGAGAUCUGAGAGAGUCAUACAAGGAAUCUCUGAGUUUUAUUUGAAAAUCUACAAAAACCCCAGAGCUAUAGCUGAUCAAGAAUAAGAGACAUGGCACUUGACUAGACUGUUCUAUCUUUUAACUACUCAAGACAGAAGUGACGGUUACAAGUCCCAUGGUGAAGGUAAAGUAAGUAAGUUUUAAGUCUUGACAGUUUACUCUAACUCAGAGAUAAGAUCUUAUUUAAAAAGCAUGUGUACCGUCAAUUUUUUUAAGAUAUUGCAACAACUUAUGAUCCAUAGCUGAGUCUAACCUUGCUCAGGGACGAGCAAGAGGUAAGCUUGGGGGAGUUUGUUGACGGUCCUUAAGUAUCAAAUUUAAUUAUCAAAUAAACAAAGAAAAGGAUCCAAAUGAAAUCAAGAUCUAGACUUAGGGUUUUUUCUGACAGAAUUCCACGAGUUUUGGUGUUUGUCUAUUUCUGCAGGGGGUUAUCAGGAAAUACGGAAGAAAGGCCCACACGUCGGGAUUACAUAGAGAUAUUAACGUGCCGUGCAAUUAUCUUACAUCUAGAAGACUCCAGAAGCCACGAGACCGAAGCGGAGGCGAAACGGGGCCUGACCCUGGCCGCCCGCCCAGUUGGUCAGGGCGCCCACCCACCUCCUGAGUCCAAUCAGGACUCUGCUUUGCGGGAAAUUUCCACCGACCUAAAGGAUGAAUCUAAACCAUACAAUCUAUGUCGGUUUGAUCCAACGGCCCAUAUUCAUUUGAAGGGACUAUAAAACCAGACCCCCUGGCCCCUGGAGGAGGGAGCCUCUCAACCCUAAUUCAUUAUUCCUCAAGGGAGAAGAAGCCUCUGAUCAAGAUUAGAGCCACCACAUCAAUUAGAUAUCUAGAUUAGCAUAGCUACAUAGGAUUAGAACUAGAAGCAGUCAAUCUUCGAUUGGUUUCCGGAUCUGUCAGGAGGAUUCUUGGUAAUUCUCUAAUUGUGCUUCUAAUGGCUUUCUAAUUAUCUUUGUUCUUCAAUAUUAUGAAUAUGACUUUGUUCUACUUCAAUAUAUUGAUUAUGACUUUGCUCUACUUGCUUAUAUUCAAGAUUAUAUUGUUCUUAGUUUAUCAUAGUUAUGUACUUGGCUUAGUUAGAUUGGAUCUAUAUACAUGCUUAGGAUCGUAUAGCGUUUAUCCAUCGGAUCCAUGGGUAAAUGAUAGAUAUUGUGUAGGCAUGGUGCUUAUACCGUAUUUAUCUGCGAUUGUACCCAAUAUGCCAGAUCGUGGGGUGGUUCGUGAUAGUGACAGCUUCAUUGAUUCUUAUAUAGUCCCCCUCUCGUGUAUUGGGCUGGUAGAGCAACAUUAUUACAGGGGAGUGAUUGCUAUGUUUCUCAUAUUCCUUGCUAAUAUAACUAUGCAUGGGCGAAGUCUUGUCUCACAAUGAUUGCUAAGUAUGCUUGCACUAAUUAUGAUAAUGCUAGACUAUAUAGUUGAGAAUAAUUUAGGGAAUAUUCUUGUAGUUCGUUCUAAUACCAUGCUAAUGACUUUCUAGAGUAUCUAAUUGAGGUGCUUAUCAUAUUUAUUAUGUGGCUAGAUCAGAUUAGUUAUCCUUGUCAUUAUUAUUAUUUCAUAUAUCUUUUAUGUGACACUUAUCCCUGUAUGAAGAGUUAGAUAUAAUGUUCUCAAUUAUACAUGCAAUGAUAGAUGCUCAAUCUCAUAUUCUAUUCUGUAAUCAAUAUUGAUGAUUGCUAAUCCGUUCCCAGUGGUAAAAAUAUAAAUAACGAUACCUUGUAUACUUUCCGGUUAAAAUGCUGCAUCGGUAUUAAUCUGUACGCUUGCAGAUCCCAUUCAUUAUUUAUUUAGAAGAGCAAUUGCAUAUUUCAAUACCGCAUCUCUCAUGUCAUGCUGGGGAUGACAACUUGGCUUAAGUGGUGUGAGGGAUAGGUUUGGCAUUUUUGGCACCGUUACUAGAUUUAGAGAACUUAGUCUACUUUUGGUAAUGAUGUUAAGAAUACCCAACUUACACUGUUCUAUCUUUUAACUACUUAAGACAGAAGAGACGGUUACAAGUCCCAUGGUGAAAGGUAAAAUGAAUAAGUUUUAAGUCUUGACAGUUUACUCAAACUCAGAGAUGAGAUAUUAUUUAAAAGCAUGUGUACCGUCAACUUUUAAAGGUAUUUCAACAACUUCUGAUCCAUCACUGAGUCUAUCCUUGCUCAAGGAUGAGCAAGAGGUAAGCUUGGGGGAGUUUGUUGACGGUCCUUAAGUAUCAAAUUUAAUUACCAAAUAAACAAUGAAAAGGAUCCGUAUGCAAUCAACAUCCAGAAUUAGGGUUUGAUCUGACAGAAUUCCACAAGUUUUGGUGUUUGUCUAUUUCUACAGGGGGUUAUCAGGAAAUAUGGAAGAAAGGCCCACACGUUAGGAUUACAUAGAGAUAUUAACGUACGACGCAAUUAUCUUACAUCUAGAAGACUCCAGAAGCCACGGGAAAGAAGCGGAGGCAGAACGGGGCCUGGCCCAAGGCGCUCGCCCUAGGGACCAGGGCGCCCGCUCCCCUUUACAGUUCAAUCAGGACUCUCUUUCGGGAUCAAGCUCCACCGAAGGAUCAAGGAUAACCGUUCAAUCAAUGUUGGUUUGAUCCGACGGCCCAUAUUCACUUGGAAGGACUAUAAAACCAGACCCCCUAGCCCCUGGAGGAGAGAGCCUCUCAACCCUAAUUCUUAUUCCUCAAGGGAGAAGAAGCCUCUGAUCAAGCCUAGAGCCACCACAUCAAUUAGACAUCUAGAUUAGCAUAGCUACACAGGAUUAGAACUAGAAGGAGUCAAUCUUCGAUUGGUUUCCAGAUCUGUCAGGAGGAUUCUUGGUAAUUCUAUAUUGUUCUUCAAUUGUUCAUCUUUGUUCUUUGAUAUUAUGAAUAUGACUUUGUUCUACUUCAAUAUAUUGGUUAUGACUUUGCUCCACUUGUUUAUAUUCACAAUUAUAUUGUUCUUAGUUUAUCAUAGUUAUAUACUUGUCUUAGUUAGAUUGGAUUUAUAUACAUGCUUAGGAUCGUAUAGCGUUUAUCCAUCGGAUCCAUGGGUAAAUGAUAGAUAUUGUGUAGGCGUGGUGCUUAUACCGUAUUUAUCUGCGAUUGUACCCUAUAUGCCAGAUCAUGGGGUAGUUCGUGGUAGUGACAGCUCCAUUGGUUCUUAUAUAGUCCCCCUCUCGUGUAUAGGGCUGGCAGAGCAACAUUACUACAGGGGAGUGAUUACGAUGUUUCUCAUAUUCUUUGCUAAUAUCACUAUGCAUGGGCGUAGUCUUGUCUCACAGUGACUGCUAAGUAUAAUUACACUAACUAUGAUAUGCUAGACUGUAUAGUUAAGAAUAACUUAGGAAAUAUUCUUGUAGUUGGUCCUAAUUCCAUGCUAAUGACUUGCUAGAAUAUCUAAUUGAGGUGCUUAUCAUAUUUAUUAUGUGGCUAAGUUAUGCUGAUCAGAUUAAUUAUCUUUGUCACUAUUCAUUACUUUAUAUCCUUUAUGUGACACUUAUCCAUGUAUGAAAGAGUUAGAUAAAUAUUCUCAAUUAUACAUGCAAUGAUAGAUACUCAAUCUUAUAUUCCAUUCUAUAAUCAACAUUGAUGAUUACUAAUCCCUUCCCAGUGGUAAAAAUAUAAAUAACGAUACCUGGAAUACUUCCUGGUUAAAAUGCUACAUCGGUAUUAAUCUGUGCGCUUGCAGAUCCCAUUCAUUAUUUAUUUAGAUGAGCAAUUGCAUAUUUCAAUACCGCAUCUCUCAUGUCAUGCCGGGGAUGACAACUUGGCUUAAGUGGUAUGAGGGAUAGGUUUGGCAUUUUUGGCGCUGUUAUCAGAAUUAGAAAAACUAAGUCUACUUUUGGUAAUGACGUUAAGAAUACCCAACACCUGUAACUAGCAGAUCAAUCAGUUCGACACUUGAUAGGCAUCGCUGAAAACAUUCCAGUCAAGAUAAGAGAUUUCCUUGUGCCAGUAGACUUCAUGGUACUAGACAUGAGUCUCGACUCAAAAGUGUCCAUCAUCCUUGGAAGGCCGUUUCUGAGCACUGCCAAUGCCCACAUUGAUGUCAGGAAGGGAGAAAUCAAAUUCAACAUAAACGGACAAGAAGAACACUUCACAUUUAAGCCUAGACCAGAGAGAGACUCUAUAGUGAAGGAAGUUCAUGAAGAAGAACCACUGGAGACACCAUCUUUGGAGGGAGGUAAUUCGGAAGAUUAAAAGAUUUGGAGGUCUAGCUUGGGGGACCUAAAAAUCCCGAACCCUCGCCGGGAGGUAAAUCGGUAUUUAUCCGCAUCAUUAAUUCUCUCAUAUUUAAUUCCUGCAUUAUCCAUAUUUAUUCAUAGCAUUAUUAUAGUAAUCAAAAGCCCCAUAAAAAUAAUAUUUAUGGUGUGUAACAACCCACAUUUAUUAAUUAUUGUGGAGGCAUAAAAAUAUUUUCCAUUAUCAUUUCAGUAACUUUCAAUUCUCACGGAUUUUCCUGCAUUAUAUUUAAUUAUAGCAACCUCCUAGAAGCAAGACCCACACUUCUUGGGUCCCACAUGUCAUACACCACACCUCACAUACAUCCCAUCAUAUUAUUUGAUCCACCAACAUAACUCCACUCACCAGCACUUUUCCACCGACCAACCACCACCCAUGAAUUAUUAUUCUACGUAAGAGCCAAGCAAAGGAGGGAGUGGAGAAAAGGUAGCCAGGAUGGCCACCAAAGGUGGGCGCCCGCCCACCUACAGAGGGCACCCGCCCUGUCCCCCCUUCCUCCUAUAAAAGGCCACCUCUUGCCCCCAACUUCUUCACACAAGCAUUCCAGAAAACCACACAAGUUUCAGUUUCCAGAGAAGGAGUUCUUGUAGUGAAGUGAGAAGGAGAGUAGAGAGGAAGAGAAGGGUGGAAGAGAGGUUGGUAGUCUUUGAGUGAGAGAGUAAGGUUCACCUAGUAAGUAGUGAUCCCGCUGUCCAGAGCGGAAGUAAAAGUUGUUUAGAGGGAGGUACUGCCAAAAUAAAAACUUGUCUUGAACGACUAACCCCUGGACUACUGACAUUUCGGACAGCUGACUACUAACAUUUUUCUCUCACAUUUUCCACUAGUUGUGUUUGUGUCAACUUUUGUUUGCAGGAUGUUCAAAAAGGUAAAGAACGCAGGGAAGGCCCUCAAGAACAUAGGUACGAGGAGCUCAUCCCGACACUCCUCGCACCAGUCAAAGAUGAGCAUCGAUCCGACACCCCCACAAGCUCCGUCAUCUUCAUCUGAUCCACAAGUCAAGGUCCUCCUCAAGAUAGGAGACCUUGGACGGAAGACCCGCAAGGAGAAAGAAGUUUACCAGCAGCUAAAGAACAAGGAUUUCAUUCACACCCCCACUCUUGAUCCUAUCUUGCUACAAGAAACAGGUAUGGAUACUGAAUUCGAUUUAAUUUUCUAGAUGGUGGGAUGGACAAAUUUUUGGAACAUAACUGAGUUGGGUUCCCGUCUUCUCACCCUUGAAUUUCUUUGCACUUUACAAUAUUAUGAGGGGGGGAAUCACUUUUCAGAUGUUCAAACAGGACAUUAUGUUGUCUUGGAGAGAACUGAGUGACCAACUCGGUUUCUCUUCAAGAUGCAUCUUGGACAUUGUCUUUGACUUACCCAAUUUUGAGAGACACCAGUUCUGGAGAUAGAUAUCUGGGGAUGAGUUUUAUAGUCAAGUCCGAACCAGCGACAUGGAACACCCCACUCUUAGAAUGUUCCACAAAUGGCUUGGGUACAAUCUUUUCCAUCGUGAUGAUAUUAGAAAAGUAAGAGUAGGAGAUUUACAACUUCUAUAUGCUCCUAUAAAUAAAGUACCCACUUCACCUGUUACACUUUUGGUUUCUCAUUGGCUUAGUAUACCUAGUCUUCAGGGACCUGUAGGUUGUACUUCACUUAUCACUCGUCUAGCCUCUAAUCUUCAUUUGCUAGAAAACUCGUCAUUGGAAUUCAUAGACGAGUUAUGAAUUUAUCAUGGCUAUGACACAUUUAGGCAAGCUCGGAUGUUCAAAAAAGAGGGGAACAUAAUGUAUAUGUUAUAGGAUAAUAACGGCAGGAUUCGGUCACCUAACCUGAAACUUGGCCUCUAUGUUGUUCAAAAUUUUUUGAAUGAGAUUGCAGUGACACCGGUAAACCAGAGAGCUCCACAAUGAGUGGCAUCUGAAAGGAUGACCACCCAUCAAGAACGCACCUGGUAUGGAGCUGAUCCCGGGCCAGAAGAAGCAGCGCACCUACAUUAUUGCGACUACAACCCCCGAGUCCUUAGGGACCCAUGGGUUCGACAUGCUCAACCACAAGAGCCAACAUAGGAGACAUGGUCGGAGGGCCAAGAUCACUAGUGGACAAACCCGCCUUUUCAUACGGGUAGGUACUCCACUGAUCCAUAUGGAGCUUCAGGGUCCAGACCCCUGCCUCAAUUCGAUGCAGGAUGAUACUCCAAUGCCUCUUAUGCUUUCACAAACGACUACUACCAAGAGGCCGGCGCCUUCUUCACCCGUACCGACAACACCACAUGGACGACUCCUAGAACAGCAACAAAAGUGGAACCAGGACCACGCCACUGCAGUACAAGAACUGAGGCAAGAUACCAUGACAAUGAACGACAACAUCACCACCAUGAUGCGAUUCUGGAACAUUGGGUAAGACCGACAGCCACAUCCAGCUUGGGGGAGUUUCUCCCCGUUUUAUCAGGUAAGUUUUUAUUUGCUCUUCUUAUUUAUUCUUUUCCGUUUUAGUGUUUUAUUUAUCUUAAAGAAACAAAACUUAGAAAACACAAUAAAUAUUUUCUUGCUUUAAUUUACUGCAUUUUAUAAACAUGAAACCAAAAUAAAAAGAGUGUGUAGAUAAGUGUGCUUUAUUUUCCCUACUAAGUAUUAAUCUCUAGAAAAAUAAAAGACCAAAAAAGAAGCAUGAUGGAAAUGAUGAACAGUUGCUCUGUUUACUUAUUUUCAAGUACCUAGCUUUUAUAUUAUAGUUCUUCCAGGAAUUACUAAAACUAAAAUUUACUAUCUAUGGAAGCAUGAACCUAAAACUAAAGUCUAGGUAAGAAAAGGACAUGAUAUGAAGUUUGAGCUACUGUUUAUCUAUGGGAUGCACCUUUAUGUCUAUCUUUAAUUCUUUGAUCACGUCUUGAAAGUCUCGAAACAACUUUGAUGAUCUACUUUAUCUUUCUCUUUAGUUUCUUCAAAUCUCGGGACGAGAUUUAUGUUAAGUGGGGUAGAUCUAUAACACUCCAAAAUUUUUAAUUUUUGGAUUGUUAUUAGAAAAUACUAAAUUAAAUAAGGAGUUAAAAUUUUUGUAAAAUACUCCAAGAUUUUAUUCAUUGUUGUUAUUAUAAAAGGAGAAAAAUAUGGAAUUUUAAAACUUUUAAUAAAUUAUGUGGAGGGUGUUUUAUUUGAUGUGUGUUUUGUGCCCUAGCUUUGUUUGGCUUGUCUUAGAAAAAUGAAAUCAAAAUUUCUAGCGAGCACGUUUAGGUCCUUUUGGUUUUCAGAAAAAUAAAACUCCAAAAGUCCUAUUUGAAAACUAAUUCAAAAAAAAUCGAGUUGGAAAACAAUUUAGAAAUGUGUUUAAACUAAUAUAUAUAUUUAGAUUUCAAAAUAGUCUAAAAACAAAUUCCAUAAUAAUCCCUAAGUAUUGACUCAAAUUUAUUUUGAAAUAUGGUCUAAAAAUAGUUUGGGAGUUGGUUGACAAAAUAUUUUAGAAUUUAUGUUUCAAAAAAAAGAGAAAGAAAAAAAAGAAGCUUUCUCUCCUCUCUAGGCCGGCUCCCCCUCCCCACGGCCCACCCCGCGCCCCUGCCGCUGGCGGCCCAAGCCGCACCGCGGCCCAGACUCCUCCUGCGCCGUGCUCCCCUGCUGACGGGCCGGCCCCACGUGUCAGCGGGGAGGGUCGUCCCUAACCUCCCGCCCGCAUCACGCGGAGGAGCCCCGCUGCCGUCAAUCCGAGCGCCCGCGCGCCUCCCGAUGAUGGUCGUGGCCUAUAAAGGCCCUGCACGGGAGUCCGCGCCCCCUGGAACCCUAGCGAAGCCCCGCCGCCACGCUAGCCCUAGCCGCGAGCUGCUACCGCCGCCGCCGUUGGGUGGAGGGCCCUGCCGCCUGUUGACGGUCCUUAAGUACUAAAUUUUACCAUCAACUAAACAUGGAAAAGGAUCAAUAUGCACCAAACAUCUAGAAUUUGGGUUUUAUCUGACAGAAUUCCACGAGCUUUGGUGUUUGUCUAUUUCUGCAGGGGAUUAUCAGAAAAUAUGGAGAGAAGGCCCACAUGUCAUGUUUACAACGAGAUAAUUACGUGUCGCGCAAUUUUUCUUAAUCUAGAAGAGUCCAGAAGCCACGGGAACGAACGGGAAGCCGGACGGGCCCGGGGGCAGGACGCCCGCCCUCCCCAAUUGGGCGCCUGCCCUGGCCUCGGGGCCAAUCACAAUCAACUUCACGGAUUAUGCUCCACCGAUCUAAAGGAUCAAGGAAAACCGUGCGAUCAAUGUCGGUUUGAUCCGACGGCCCAAAUUCACUUGAAAGGACUAUAUAAAAAAGGCCUCUCCACCCCACGGGGAGAGAGGAGAAAUCAUUAUCAGAGGAAGCCAUCAAAGUUAGGGUUUAGAACUUCUCUCCCACAAAGAAUUAGAAUUAGCUACUCCCUAAUCCUUCAAGUUUUAGAGGGUUGAUUAGAUAGAAUUAGAGAAGUAGAGCAUAGCGCUCUGGAUUCGGACCUUCGUUAAUAAAGAUUAGAAUUAUUUCAUAUCUUUCUCUACUACUUUAUUCUAAUUGCAUUAUGUCUCUAUUUAUUAUGCUCUUAGUUUGUUCUAGUUCUAUAUUUGAUAUAGUUAUGAUUGAUAAUCAGUUUAUGUAUGAGUUUGCAAAGCGCCUAGCUCUUGACGUGUGGGAGUUAAGAGGUAGAUCAUAUAUGGGCGUGGUGCUUAGAUAUUAUUUACCUGCAAAUGUAUCCUAUUAGCCGGGUCGUGUGGUAGUUCGCGAUAGUGACAGCUUCGUUGAUUCUUAUAUAGUCCACCCUCCACUGAUAGGACUGGCAGAAUUUGUAUUGCAGAGUAAGUAUUGCGAUGCUCUGAUUUACUUUAGCAAUGUUCCUUAUACAUGAAUGAAGAGUCUUUUAUACUAUAUAUGAUCUCGUAGAUAACUAGAUUAGAUUGUGACUUAGUACAUAGUAGAUAACUUAGAAUCCAUUCUCUAGCUAAUCCGACGUCACCUUACAUAUAUGAGGAGUAGUCUAUUUUCUAAUCGCUGUGUUAUUUACCCAUGAGCUUAUAUUUCAUUAUCAUUAUUAUUAUGCCUUAACCCCUGCUAAAGUAAGUGACUGUGUGAUGAGAUCCUCAUUAGUAAUCAUGUUCUUGCAAGUUUAUCUCUAGUCUAUGCCUUGAUAAAUUUUAUCCUUAUCUUCAACUCCACUGUUCUCUUAAGCAAAAUUAUAAAUAACGAUACCUGAAAUACUUUCUUGGUGAAAUGCUACAAUGAGGUAUUUUAUCUGUGCGCUUGUGGAUAGAAUAGAUUAUUUUCUAGAGAGCCUUUACAUUCAUAAAUAUCUUUGUACACUCUGGCACCAUGCUAGGGAUGACAACCUAGUAUCCAAGUGGUGUUAGUAAGUCUCAAUACCGCCGUUGAAUCUCGUCGGCUGCCGCCUCCCAGACGAUGAAAACCGAUCCCCUUCGUGUCGAGAUGAGGAACUCAACGAAACUUCUCCCACCCUCUCUAUCCCUUCAUUUCGCACGAACGGGAUCGCCGGAGGAGCUCGCCGCCGCCAAGCCACCCCCACCGCGCGGCCAGCGCACCCCGGCUCCUCUUUCGCACGGGCAUCGCGCGCACCGCACUCGCCACGCUUCGCUCAUCCCACCAAUGCCUCCGCUAUGCCCCGCCGUGCCCUACAGCGCCCCCACGGUGAGCUCGCCGGAGCCAGCAAUGGCGCCGCCGCCGCGGCUCGCCCGCCUGGCCGCGCGCGCGCACCGGCGCCACCGGUCCACGGUGGACCGGUGGACCAUCGCCCGCAGCCCCGGUCCACAGCCCCCGCCGUGGACCCACCACUCAUGAGACAGCACGUGGCCAGCCCGCCCGGCCGCCCGCGCCGCUCCCUGCCCUUUUGCAAAAAGGUCCCUCAGGUUUUGUGAAAUUAACCCGCAGUGCUGAGUAGUUCAGAAAUAAUUAGAUUUAAGUCAUGUUUUUAGCAAUUUAACCACUGGCGCCAUUGGUAUUUAUAGAUUUAGUCCAAAAUGAUUUUUUAAAUUCAGUUUUGAUUUAUUUAAAAUACGAAAAAUUAGUUCUGUUUAUUCACAGUUUUGCCACUGACCUAGUUUCGGCCAUAGAAUCCACGUAUUAAUUCCGAUUGAGCCCAUUCUUGUCGCGUUAGUUUCGUAUCGUCGUAAGCUACGCCUUAGUAGUGAUAAUUACCUCAUUUGACCAUUUAGGUUUUCACCAUAAAUACAAAAUGAUUAAUGACUAACUAAAUGCCCUUUUAAUCUACAAAAGCAAUUUAUGUUUGUAACUUUGGUGUUUCAUAAACACAUUAAUAUUAUUAAUAUCAACAUAAAUGCCUUCUCAAUUGUGAUCUACUUAAUUUAAUCUCAGUUCAUAAAUGCCUUGUUUAACUUAUGUCACGAAUUCUACGCUUUCCUAAACUAUAAAUGAUAAAGUGACUUAAAUAAUUUAUUAUUAUUCAUAAAUAGAACUAGAACUAUACUUCGUCUUUUAUAAUUAUAAUUUGUUUAAUUCCACUUUAUGAUAUUUCUCUUAAACGUUUAUCAUCUUGUUUUAUCUAAUAAAAUAAUCCAAGUGUAUAGUCCGUGUUCUCCGUUAUGUUGCAAACCUCGGAAGUCGUGUCAGUUUAACGAUAGCUCUGUUCUCAAUCGUUCUUGCGUUGUCACGAUCGUAGCAAUAUGCCGUAUCAUUUAGUGCGCUCUUUCUAAUCUUUUCUUUUGAUGGUUGUUUGUUCUUAGUUGUGAUUGUUUGUUUGUCUGUUUGUGUUGCUUGGUUGCUACACGUAGAAGAAGUGUGGUUCGUCAACAGUAACGAUCAGGAGCUAAGGACCGAUGGUCGAAGCAGAAGUUCUAGAUCAUAAGAAAGAAGCUAAAGAAUUCUGAGCAGAUAUACACUAGGAAAUAAGGCAAGUGCAGGCACCCCUUGAUCAUAUUGUACCUAUGAACUUUAAAUACAUUUACUUUCCAUUGCAUGUGUUCUAAUAUUGCAAACCAUAAGGACAUGACUAGCCCUCCACUAUAUUCCUUGUACUCCUAGGUUUAUACAUGGGUAGUCUAGUGAACAGUAGAUAUGCUUAGUUGCUCUGCUCAUCUAUUCUAUAUAAUAAAUGAAAGUAAAUAAUCUUGCCUAAUGAAGUCUUCAAUGUUGAUUAAUGUUUAAAUGAUGAACAAUGGUCACUUCGGUGAUGGAGAUGUUGUGGUGCUUGUGAGCAUCAUGGUUUGUUGAGGAAAGGGGGAGUGGGUACUGUUGGUUGGUCCGGUUGCCGGGCGUACCCGUCUCUGCUCUCCGUAAGGACUUAGUCAUGGAGCGGCCCCUUAGGACAUACAGAACAGCUCCAAGCCAUAUGGCUCUGGCUUGACUAAUUAUCAGGACCUCCGCUGGUAGGGUGUUACUUUCCGGGUAGGCGUAAGGAAGUAGCUUGGGUAUUCAUAUUAAGAGGUCGGUCAGUUCGGGGUCCCAUUGCUAUGGGCACGGCUGUCGCGCGCCCAGGCAAAAACUUACAAGUGGCAUCCUAUUAGUUGGACCCUGUGAAAGAUCUCGUAGUGAAACCCUGCCUGCUCACCUUGGUAGUGUUUUGGGGAGUCGCGACCCCGGGCAAAUGGGAAUCAUGACUUGGAGUGAAAGUGCACACCUCUGCAGAGUGUAAAACUGAUAUAUCAGUCGUGCUCACGGUCAUGAGCGGCCCAGACUCUCACAUGAUGAGCAAAUUGGAAUCACAUGGAAGUUGGAGGCGAAACAUGGUUGAGGUUGCUACCUCGUGCUUUGGCGGAAAGGCUAUUCCGUGUUGGUAGGAUUGCUAUCCUGUGACCUUAAUUGGGAUUGCUAUCCCAUGACCAUAAUGGGGUUGCUACCCCGAGUUACUAUCCGAGGUUGCUACCUCGGUAAUAUUAGUAAUAAUAAUAAUUAUAAUGAUGAAUAAUAAUAUUGUUAAUAUACUCUCAUCUAAUUAAGGGUUGGGAUGCUUCACUCGUAUUUAGUAAUAGGUUGUUUUAAUAAGAGAAUUAUAAUAAAAGUUUACCAACUUAAAAGCUCACCUGCAGUUAGACAGUGUCAGCUUUUCCUUUGAUUAAGCCUUGCAUGUCAUUAUACUUUCCGCCUGUACUUGUUGAGUUCGACAUGAACUCACCUUUGCUAUAUCCCCCACACCCAGUGUGUAGUAAUGUGCUACUCAGAAGAAGGAUAGAGAUGCUAUGGAGUUUUCUAGAAGCUUAUUAGAAGUGCUUGUUGUAUGGAGCCCCCAGUCAACCGUCCUUGAGAUGAAUGAAGCCUAAGAAGUUUAGCUACUAUUUUCCGCGUACUCUGAUGUUUGUAAGUGUUAAUAUAAAUAUGUUUUCCGCUAUAUAUAACAUUGUUUAUAAUAUUUCUAGUCUUUGUUGUAUGUGUGGACUUCCUAGGCACACAUAUGACGACUCUGGUCUUAUUUUAAAAACCAGGGUGUGAUAGUUACGCCCUUCAAUGGCGAGGUGUACAUUUCUUACCAAUUAGUUAGUAGAAAUUUGAUUACCAGCAGCACUAAUACAAAAUUUGCCCUUGGCAAUAUCCACUACACUUUGCCCAUGUUUAGAUACAAAUGCUUGACUCAUAAAAGAAUGUGAAGCUCUAGAAUCAAAUAAGACAACUGCGAGGUGUUGAUUGACAAGGAACAUACCAGUUGUAACCACUUCACAUGUACGAAUUUCUUCAAUUGUGGUGUAGUGCACUCGGCCGGGAUGUACAUUGCCCCUAGCUGCAUAAUUCCUCUUUGGAUACGGGCAAUCUCUUACCCAGUGACGAACUUGCUUGCAAUUGAAGCAGGUGUUGACGGUGGAUAAGCUAUAAAAUCCACACAUGAAAACACCGUCAACAGGCUAGAAAGAGUGGAAGAAUAGCAUAGCAUAGGCAUAUUUUAUCACAAAAAGGUUCCACUUGAGCUCUAGGUAUUUAGAUGUAGGAACACUUACAUUUGGGAGAAAAUGAGCCCCUGGACCCACCAAGGCCCGGUCGGUCGACCUACACAUGGGGUGGUCCAGGUGCUGGCCCAAUUCUAGGAUUCUAAGACAACACAUCCAAGUCCAUCUCCACCCUCAGAUCACACUUGUGUUUCUGUUCAAGGGUGAAAGAUCGGGGUACAAGGAUCCAUGGACCCACUAGAAGAACCAGACCAAAGAUGGACACAAGACACAGUCCAUGACAGAUGGGGACAACAAUGGAGCAAGGCUGGUGGGUCCACGUCACCAAACCUUGGUCGACCGACUAGGCCAUGCUGGGACCCACAUGUCAGCUCCACUCCACCGACCUCCAGGACCUUCUAGAAGGCUCAGGGUGGCCCCACCUCACAAAAAGACAGGUCGACCGACCUAUGAUAUGGGGCCACCUAAGGUUGGUUACACUCCAUCGACUUUGGCAACAUGUGUAGAUGAUCUUGGACGUCCAUCUAAGGUGGUUUCAAUGACGGUUUAUCCAAGGGUGGAAAAGUGGGAAGCACACAGAUUGCUGACGUGGCACCCCCUCUACUCCACAUAUAAAUAGAGGUUGCAUCCACCCUCUUAGUAUGUGUGUUUUCAAGUUAGCUCUAGCUUUCCAAUUGUAAGUGUUAGUGUUAGUCUAGUGUGGGAGUUAGAGUUGAGUCGUGCGAAGCUCGGAGUCUCCGGAGUCGUCUUCUGGAGAGUCUGGUAUUCCUCUUUACCUUUCCUCUUGUAAGACUUUGAGUAUUUAAUAUAUUUACUUUUCCUUUACUUUUCUAAGUAUUUACUUUCAGUACUUACUUAGUGCAAUAUUAUAUUGCAGUGUCCUAGUCUAUCUUGUAGUAGUCAUAUACUAGCUAAGUUAGUCUUAAGUGCUUGGGUUGUUUUCUGUGCCGGUAACUCGGUGCUUGGACUAGGUCGUAUACUUAGUCUGAGUAGUAGGAGUUAGCAUAAGCAUAUUGAUUAGGCUAAAGACUGUCCUUGAAUACCACCAUAUGAAACGUGUUAGUGGGCGGCAGCGAAGCGUGAGAGGCCUCUGCUUCCGAGUAGGUUCUAUUCACAUCGGGUACGAUCUAUAGGUGCCCAUAAGAAACGAGGCCGCUUGGAUAGGAGUUUUAUCCUCCUAUUGCAGUCGACUUCUAAUAAACAAGCAGUUAAGUUUAGCAUUGUUAGUGUGUGUUUGCUACUAGACUAGAUUAGCCCAUAGGAGUAAAGUUAGAGUCAUAGGAGUCUUUUCUCACUCGUUGUCCUCCCACCUAGCUACACUAAACUAGUUAUCUUAGAGUUACCCAGAACCACAUCAACCUUCCUCUACGUCUUCAUUACCUCACUACCUUGGUCGAUCCUAGCUGAGAUAGGAUUUCCCUUCCUUGCUAUCUCUUCUACCACGCUUUCCCUUGGACGAACUAUAAAUUACGACACUACGGAUACUCACCACGGUUGAAGUGCUACAUCGGUAUCUGUGUGCAUGCAGAGUUACCCCUAGUACAUCUUGCGUCAUCGCUAGAGUCUAGUGUUGCUUAGCAUUUCUGGAGCCGUUGCUCAGGGUAGCCUGACACCCUAUCCUAGUAACAGCUCAGGCUUGCAUUUAAGUAGUGCUGGUUAGGCACCACCAUUUCUAGAUACUUGUCACUUCUUACUGUAGCCGGUGUGAGUUAAUAUUUGCCAACAAGCAUUUCUGGCGCCGUUGCCGAAGAAAGCAUUGCCUAGAAAUUUGUAGCAGGAACGAAUCUGGUAAAACAUCAUCAACUUAAGAUCAACUUGUUGUAGGCAGUUACCCCUGCUUGUGUUUCUCUUCAUUGUGAAACCAGGUAUUGUAUGAGUGAUUUCCAGUUCAAGGCAACCACAUUAGCCGAUUCAGAGAGAUCUCGAAGGAAUUCUAGACUUCGUCUAGUCCACCAUCAAAGAUCCAGCUCACACCAGAACUCACUCAAGGAAGGAGGCUUAGCACCAAGAAUCAGGAUGUCAAUGGUCAACCAACCCAUCACCGACUUCUCAUCUCCCUCUGCGACCCAUAUCUCAUUGGGACCGCAAGUGGAGAUUGGAGAUAUCGACUUUGAGAUCCAGCCAUCGCUAAUCUGUCUGGUGCAAGCUAGUACAUUCAGUGGGAAACCACACGAGGAUGCAAACACACACCUUCAGAACUUUCUGGAAGUGUGUAGCACCAUCGCUAUCAAGGGAGUCAUAGCGGGAGCCAUCCACCGUCGCUUAUUCCCAUUCACUAUGCUUGGGAAAGCAUAGCAAUGGUUCUAUGCUCUCCCUGAUGAUGUUGACACAUGGAACAAGUGUGCUACAACAUUCCUCAACAAGUUCUUCCCAAUGAGGAAAACAUCUGCUUUGUGGGCAGGAAUCUCUAGCUUCCAUCAAAAGGCAGAAGAGACCAUUCCCGAAGCAAGGGAACGUCUCCAGGAGUACAUUUGGGAAUGCCCUCAUCAUGGAAUCAAGGAAUGGCUCCUGAUCCAAGGUUUCUACCAUGGGCUAAGACCACACAUUCGUAGUCACCUUGAUGCUGCUGCAAGAUGAUCAUUCACAUCCCUCAAUGUCGCAGAAGCAAAGAAGCUCAUUGAGAACAUUGUGACAAAUCAAGAGUGGAAUGAUCAACGUCCUAAACCCAAGAAGAGAGGCUCCCACACCAUUGAGGAGGUGAACGCCAUCUCUCAAAAGAUGGAGCUCUUGAUAAAGAAAAUAGAAGAAACAUCCAACUUCAAGAAAGAUCGAGAGGCCAUCCAAUGAUACACCUCAGCACGUGCCAUUGAAGCAAUCCAAAGGUGCGAGGUGCAGGAAGAAGCUCCAGAGGUCGUCUCCGCAUUUGACAAUAGGCAACCACGACAAAGCGGACCGACUCCACGCUUCCAAGGCCAAGGAAAUUUAAAAAAAUCUAGCUGGCCUACCCUUAGACAUCUUGUUGUUAAUCAAGCUAAAAUUAAUGAAGGCACAAAUAAAAGAUUGUUAGCUAACGACAAGACUCUUGAAUUAUUAAUGUCUAAAAUGGACUCUCUAGCUUCUGCUGUUAAGGAUCAAUAGAACUUGAACAAGGUCUUAGAGUCCUGGAUGACUCAAAUUACUGCUUCUGUUAAUUCUUGUUACUCCUCAAAUGCGGUGGGCACAAGAGGCGGUAAGACCACUCAUGAUCCACCAUAUCGUAACAUGACAAGGAAACCGGCAAGGAAGGACAAGCAGGAUGAAGAAGACAAGGUAGAAGAAGUAGAGCUUCCAUCAACAGAAGAAAGUACCAAGUUCAAUGGGAAAGUGGCACCACAUGAGUUCUACGACACAAACCUACUGAUGCCAUUCCCCAGGACGAGGACUCAAAAGACCGAUGAACAAUUCAGAAAAUUCAUUAAGGUAAUUCGACAAUUAUAUGUCAAUAUUCCGUUACUUGAUGCAAUGCAGGGUCCAACCUACGCCAAGUACCUGAGAGACAUCCUCAACAAGAAGAAGCCGCUGCCUAAAACCUAGGUAACUAAACUAACUGAAGAAUGCAGCGAAGUCAUCUUGAAUAAAUUCCCAAAGAAGAAGAAGGACCCCGGGUGCCCCACCAUUGAUUGCUCCAUCGGGGCAUAGCAUUUUGAGCAUGCACGGUGUGACUUGGGAGCAAGCGUCAGUGUUACGCCAAACGUAAUUUAUGACAAAUUAAAUCAUACUACCUUGUCCCGACAUCAAUAUAUUUGCAGCUAGCAGAUCAGUCGAUUUGCCAUCCAGCGGGAGUAGCUGAGAACAUCCCUGUCAAGAUACGUGAUUUCCUCAUUCUUGUGGAUUUCGUAGUUCUUGACAUGGAAGUUGACAAGAAGGUCCCCCUCAUCCUUGGGAGACCAUUCCUCAGCACUGCCAAGGCACAUAUUGAUGUUGGAGCCAGAGAAAUUCAAUUCACCAUCAUUGGGUCCCAAGAGAAAUUCAACUUCAAGCCAAAAGUUGAGUAGUGCUCAAUGAUCUUGGCUACAGAGCUGGCUACAAUUAUUGCCCUGACGCACACCAAAAAGAAGGCUAAAUCAAAACCACGGGCAAAACCCAAGCAAAGUUGGAAGAGAAAAAUAGUGCCUCCACCCAAGAAGGCCUCUACAGCACCUCAGGGAGGUUCUGAUUGAAAGGACCUGAGGCAACUGCUCUUCCAUCCAGGUAAGUCAACCAAGGUGAGUUUUCAAACUUUUAAAAUUCAGCAUUUAUUCUCAGCAUUUAAUUAUUAGUUUUUCUUUAUUUAAAACAUUUUUCUGUCGACCACAGUUGUGCAUAACAAAACUUAAAAUCAACAUUUGCUUAACAUGCUGAGCAAAUGUACACCAGGUGGGACCCAAGGCCAGGUUGGCCGACCUGACCUUGGUGGGUCCACCUGCUCAAUUUUGCUCCAUCAUCACACAAUCCCAUGUCUGUGCCAAAGUGAAAAUUGAAUUUUAUGACAUGAAUUGCUUCACAUGCCUACUAGAGAAUCUAGAUGAAGCUAGCUUGGUAACUUUUGUGACUCUAAGCAAAGAAGUUUUACUACACAAUGCAUGAGUGUUCUAUUUGAGUGCCACCAGACCCGGGGGAGGCCAAAUCAUGGUUGACCGACCAUGAUAUUGAGCCCACCUCCCUCCAGCUCCUCGUAUUUGUGAUCUUAUGGCUGUAGGAUGAGUGUUGCAAGAAUGUAAGACAGGUGGUUGUCAAUUUAAAUUCCUAGGAAUUAGUGGCUCUCCCUCACCUUCUUGCUUAGGAAAAUAGAAUUAACAAAAUGGCCAUAAGCAAUCCAAGGGAGUAGAGGAAAAUUUUCAUGACAAUCCUUCUCCCUAACCUCACUUAUGCCCCAAUCUACCAUUCAUUUUGGCUAAGCAAGCUUAUUUAGCACUAAGCUAAUCACAAAGGAUGAGGAGAAUUCUCCCGUGAGAACUCAUGACACAAAAUGCCACCAAUCCUAGUCUUGUCUUGCCCCCUCUCUUUUGCUUUCUUUCCUUUCAUCACUUCACCCAAGAAAGGGAGAUGCCAUUCACCACCAUCCAAAGCAUGUUAUGCAUGCACCCAACAUGGAAUGACCUCCACUCACUCUCAUCUUUGGCACAAAGCGAAAGGGAGAAGAAAGAGGGGUCGGUCGACCCAUGAUGAAGGACACCAUCACAUGCAUUGUGACCCAUCUCUUAUUGCUUUGGUCCUAGUGAAUGCAAAGUUUAAAAAUGUGGAGAUAGACCGGUCGGCUGACCAUGCUCUUGUGCACCUAGUACACCCACUUGCUUGCAUUGGAUUCCAGAAGAUAGGUGCCACGGCCACACAACAAACCUACCCAGAAGUGAAGGUCGACCGACCUCUAUAAAUACACACAAGCACUUGCACUUACUCUCACCUUCAUCCAAACACACUCACUCUCUUGUGCACUCAACCAACCAGCAAGAAAUCUAUUGUCUUCUCCAUUUCUUAACCACCCUUCUUUCCAAAACAAAAAUCCAAAAAACAUUUUCUUUUUAUCCUUACCAUCGAGUUCAUCAUCAUGAAGAAAGUCAGGGGUUGGGGGAACUCGGUGCUCCAUCGAAUUUUCUUUAGCUCUAGUGACUCCUCUAUGCAAGAUGCCCAGAGUCAAGCAUCAACGGAGCAAGUAUCAUCUCCACCACCUCAAGUUAAUGAAUAAGCCGUCCCCGAGAGAAUUCAAGAUGUGGAAACCGGCAUAUGGCUCACUCCCGCUGAGAUGGAGAAGCUUGAGGAACUCCGCAACCGUGAAUUUAUUCACACCAAGGUGAUAUCUCUUGACUUUCUCCAAAGCAUGGGCUUAGAUGAUGAAUUCACAGAAGUUUUUGAGAAAAUGGGGUGGGAUGAAUUUUGGGAUUUGUCUAAUGUAAAAGGAAGUAAAAUUCUCACCCUAGAAUUUUUAAGCACCCUAAGAAUAACAUUAGAGAAAAUUUAUUUUAGAGUGCUUAAUAAUGAGUUUGACCUCCCAUGGGAUGUUUUCUCUACAUGUCUUGGUUUUGAUAAUCCCAACAUUAAAAUGGAAAAUGUCACUAAGCAUAUGAACAAGAAAGAAUUUUGGUAUGAAAUCACUAGGGAAAAUUAUGAGGGAUGGCAACCACGUAAUAGUCACAUAUGCAAUCCUACCUUGCUUUUCUUGCACCAGUGGAUAGGACACACUUUGUUCCCUCGAGAUGACAUAAGAAUUGUCGGGGAAAUUGACACUAGGAUCCUUUUUGCCAUGCUUCAUAAAAUUCAAAUUUCACUAGUGGUAGAAAUGGCUAAACAUUGGAUACGGGCAUCAUCCCAACCAAGGAGGUGGGCCAUUGAAUUUACUUCUGUGAUUACAAAAUUUUGUGCAUACCAAAAUCAGCUCAAUAACUUUGAUAGAUACAUAAUUACUUCUAGAGUUGUCUUGCACAAAAGAUUUUACAUUCAAGGCCAAUAUCUUAAGGGAGGAGCAAAUAACUCAGUAUUUUUAAAAGUUUAUAAUACCCAUGAAACAAGUUUGUUGCCUUGUGAAGAACUAAAAAUAUAUAAUGGCAACCCACUACUCCCUAUGUGCAAAAGACAUAUGAGGCAUGCAGGACCAACCACACGUGCAAUAGCACGAGCUGCAGGUGAUGAUGAUGACAGUGACUAUGAGUGAAGUUUUAGUGGGAUGCAGACGUCCCAGUCGGGACGCAGGUCUGGUGGCCACAGUGGCCAUAUGUCUUGUUCUUCUUUGCAGGAUUCACAGCCCCGUGCUCAACGCAUUGACAUGGACAUGCUGACCUAACAAAUUGAUGUGCUGCGCAUUGGACAUGAGGCCGUGAAAAACACUGCAACUCAAAACCAGCAAGCCCUCCUAGACCUCCAAGUCCAACAAAACAUAGGCUGGAACUGGAUGUAUACACACCAUCAGAGGCCACUACCACCAAAUAUUCCAGUCAUUCCUAUGCCACCACAGCGGCAGCAAGACUCAUCUCCACAGUAUCCUCCACCAUAUCCUCAACAGCCCUCAUAUCCUCCACCAUAUCCUCAGCAGCCCUCAUAUCCUCCACCAUAUCCGUAUAACUAUCCACCAUAUGAGUGAGGAGGCAUGAGAAGAGACAAGCUUGGGGGAGAUCCCCUCGCCCACCAAGGUAAGCAUUAUGUCCGCUUUUAAAAUUUAUUGCAAUUUUAGUUGUUCUAUGUUUCAUGCCAACAAAAAAAUAAUAAUAAAAAUAAAAUUUGCCAUCCAUGCCAUCUUUCUCUUGGAAAUGAUGAAUAGUUGCUCUGUUAAUGUUUCUCUAGUAUCUAGCACUCAACUUAGUAUUUUUCUAAGAAUAGAUCACUUGGCUCACAUAAGACAACCAUGAACCUGAUUUAUUUAUGUAGGUUGCAAGUGCUAAAACUAUGUCUAAGUUGUUGUGAGAUAUGAGAUAGUAAGACAACAGCUGCUAUAUUUUUAUUCUAAGCUUGCAUGAUUAUCGGAGAAUUUAUUUGGAAAAUAUCUAAAAACAAUGGUUCCUCAAUGAUUAUAAAAUUCCUACCAAGGCCAAAUAUUUAUGCUCCAUAGAUAUAUACAUACUUUCGCCAUAGCUGCUUGCAAUUGUUGGGGUUUUGUCAAGGAUUGAACUUAACUUAGAUUGGAGUCAUGUUUAGAUUGAGAAACACUUUGCACCCACCAAAUAAAUCCAAUUCUUACACUGAGGAUUGCGCGCAACAUGCACCCUUCCAUCCACCAGAAAAAAAUGCUCUUCUCCUAUACUAGGAGAAAGCAACAAAAUUUUUGCUAGGAAAAUACUCCAUCCAUUUUUUCAAAUUGAUCUUUCUCUCAGUAUCCUUUUUAGAUAGACAUGGCCAAAAAAAUGGGGCGCACCGUUGUCAAAAGUCCCCAAAUGUUUGGUACAAGGAAAAGUUGGUAGCCAUGUCUCAAAAUAUUCUAAAAGAGAAAGAUCAUGCCAUAAAAGGAGUAUAGUUUAGUGAUAGGAUCCAUUCCACACAUUUGCACGUCUCAGUCUAGCAUAUGCCUUUGAUCUUAACUUAGUUUGGUUUUGAUCUAUCCCCAUACAAGAAGCAAGUAUGCCCACCUUCCACACCUACUGAAACUCCACAUAAAGCCUUAGCUAUAGGUUGUGAGAAAAGCAAUGCCAUUGGUAAGGUACAUUAUCCACUUGAGAGAUUGAGAUAAAUUAAUUGAGGAACCUGGUUUUCUUGUGGAAAAUUUGAAAAACCUCCGGUAUGAAACUCGCUAAGAAUAAGAAAGUGGUGCUCUAUAUCUAACUAUUCUGUCUCUCAAGCGCCCAAGACAAAGUAAUAGCCAAAAAGCCCCAUGAAGAACUAAGGUAAAUGGGUAAGUCUUCAUAGCUAAAUUUUCCAUACUUAUGAGAAAUAAUUUGUUGCGUACAUGGUACUCUUGAAAUGUUGACAUUGCAGCAACUCCUGAUCCACCAAGACUAAGGUUAAUUGUUUGCUCGGGACGAGCAAAGGUUAAGCUUAAGGGAUCUUGUUGACGGUGGAUAAGCUAUAAAAUCCACACAUGAAAACACCGUCAAUAGGCCAGAAAUAGUGGAAGAAUGGCAUAACAUAGGCAUAUUUUAUCACUAAGAGGUUCCCCUUGUGCUCUAAGUAUUUGGAUGCAGGAACACUUACAUUUGGCAGAAAAUGAGCUCCUAGACCCACUAAGGCCCGGUCGGCCGACCUACACUUGCGUGGUCCAGGUGCUGGCUCAAUUCCAAAAUCCUAAGACAACACAUCCAAGUCCAUCUCCAGCCUCACUACUAGUUUUUGACCCUAAUGCACCAGACAAUUUUUGAUGCUAUAGGCCUAAAAUAGAUGCGAUAGCUAUGUAUGGCAUCAAUGUGUCGGUUGAUGCAAGCCGAUGCAAUAUAUCCCGAUGCAAUAGCCUAUCACAUUGGCUCCUUGCAGUUGAUGCAACAAGCAGCAAUUGCAUCGGUCAUCCGUUGUGCAUCGGUCAUCCGUUGCCUGUUGCAUCAAAAUUGGGCCAGUGCAAUAGUUUAUUGCAUCGAUGUCAUGUUGAUGCAAUACAUCUAUUGCAACAGCUGACUUGUGGUGCAAUAAACUCUAUCGCAUCAAUAUUUGGUUCGAUCUAAUAUUAAAGAUCGCAUCGACAUGUGGUUGGAUGCAACACAAAGUAUUGCAUCGACAUGUGGUUCGAUGAAAUAUUGAAGAUCGCAUCGACAUGUGGUUCGAUGCAACACAAAGUAUUGCAUCGACAUGUGGUUUGAUGCAAUAGAAACUAUCGCAUCGAUAUGAGGUUUGAUGCAAAUACAAUAUAUUGUAUCGACAUGAGGUUCGAUGCAAAUACAAUAUAUUGCAUCGACAUGAGGUUCGAUGCAAAUACAAUAUAUUGCACCAACAUGAGUUUGGAUGCACAAUCAAAUAUCGCACUGAUAUUUAUGGCAAUACAAUGAAUUUAGUGCACAUUCAUAAUAUUUCAUAAUUCAAUGGGACACAAAGACAAUCAUAUUCGUAUCUUGGAUCAUCAUCAUUCAAUUUGCACAUUAUAAGGAAGUCAAAGGCCUUCGUAUUACAUAAAACAUAAAUAAUGGUCUGAUCUACACAAGGUAGAAAAAGAAAAUCAUAAACACAAAACAUGUCUCUUAGCACUGAUCUACAUGACAUCUUUCUCGUUGCACAAUGUUUGAUCCAAUUGAGCUUGCCAAGACUCCUUGUCGAUGAUCGUCCUGAAAAAGGCAAAAUGAUAUGCAUUAGUAAUACUAGCAGUGAUCGAACAAACAACCAACAGCAGCAACCCUGCUUCUCAUUUUUUUUGAGGAAGAAAUGCUUAUGCAAAAAAUAUGAAAAUUUUACAGAAGAUAGGAAAUAAUUAUCUACAACUAUUGUACGAAACAUUCUAGCAUUUGAGAAAUCUAAGACAGCACUAACAACAUAUGAAUGUAAUGGAACUUUCCUGUUAGCUGAAACAGGACAGUAGAUUUGUAAAAUUCAUAACAGAAUUUGUGCUCACUCAAAAAAUGUAAUUUAGUGAAGUCAUGAUUUUCAUCACAGUAUAUAUUCUAAAAGAGAUUACGUCUAUAACUGUCAUGAUUUUCAUCACUAUAAAACAACAAUCUUUAAAAGAUCCAGUUUCUCUCAAACUACAGAGGCUAUGACAGUGGUCUUGGUGACAAAAGAAAGGUGUUGAAGUCCUCUACAAAUUUGUCAACAGUGGUAAAAAUUAUUGAGGCCAUUAAGAUGCCCUGGAAGUUAAUAGAUCUAAAACUGUAUAGAAUUUUGGCAGCGCAACAACAUUGUGAACCAAUGAUCAUAUCUCCCAAACUAUAAGGUUUAUAACCAUGAACUUUUCGCCAAAACAAAGAUACCAAAGCAUAGUACUUAAAUAUAAUUGCAUCUUAAAGUGAUAUUUGCAGCUCUUACCUUUCCUCAUCUCUUUUUCGUUUGUCGCUUUUUAGCUACAGCAUUAUUCCUCAAUGUUUGAGGUGUAAUAAAUUUGACCAACUCAUUAAUCCCUUUGUCACAAGGAGCAACUGAUUUGUUGGCAUUACUGCGAGUGAGGCGACUAUUUUGGAUAGUGAACUGUUUGCUCACUAAUUCAGCUUGUGGUACAUUCUGAAAAAAACAAAAGAUUUGAAAGAGCAAUCACCAGUUAUCAAAACUAAGAAACCGUUGAACUAGAGGUGUUAUUGUGAAGUUUAUUACCUGUUGCACAUGUUCUACAUCUUGGCUGGGAGUUUGAUCAACAGAAAGUCCAUUGGAAUGCUCAUCUUGUGUGGGCAGGUCAGAUUUUGUACCAGCCUGCAUUAUUUUUUUAAAAAAGGAUGCACACAUGACCAUCUUAGAUGAAAUCUAGGCAUCCAUUGCAUCGCAGAUUACAUUUUCCAAAAGUAAUACCUGUGCUAAAUCUGCAACUACAUUUGCACUAACCAUAUUCUCAAUACCAGUUGCAUUAGUAGUGAUUUCAGCAACUUGAGUGGUUGUUUGUGUAGGCUGAGGCACCGUUGUGCUUGGUGCAGCAUCCUUGCAAUGGAUUUAUAAGGACAAAUAUUAGCACUCAACCAAUGUUAAAAUACAUGAUGUUGCUAACAAUUAAGAAGUAGUAUUAUUACCAAAUGGGUUGCUUCAUUGUGUUGUUUGAACAGUGAAAACAUCUCUUGCCUUAGUUCUUCUCUAAUCUUGUUACUUGUACUCUCCAGUUGUUGUUCUAGCUGUUUAAUUUUUUCCUUGUCGCUUUCCCUCUCAGCGUCUUGAACGGUAAGCUGUUCUUUAAACUGGUCUACCUCAACUUUCAUCUCAUUAUUCUUCUAUUGGGCUGCUGCUGCUAAUGCAGUUGCCCGAGCUUGCUCUUCAAUCAUAAUUUGGCUUUGGGUCGGAUACUUUUCCAGGUAUCCAUGUCCAGGAACUUUCCUGCUCUUGCAUCUAUUGGUUUCCUUGUAGGUUUCACGAAGAAUGUUCCUUUCUUGUUCUUUUGAUACCACAGAACCUUCCAACUCAAUUCUCUCUGCAAUUUUGGAGAAGGCGCUUUCCUAUUUGAGCAAAUAAAAUCAAGAGGUUACUGAUGAUCAUCAUUUGCAGCUUUAAGUGUGAUAAUAGCAAGAAUAAAAUAUUGUAUGCAACAAACAUGAGAUGUGAUACAAAUUUCAUAAGCAUGCAGCUGGUAGAUGUGGUGUGUGAUGCUCGCUACUCAGGUGUCAUACAAAUUUCAUAAGAUGAUUUACAUAUCAGAUCCACAGUACAUAUAUGAAAUUGACAUAUGAGAUCCAUUGGAAAGCAAAAUACAUAUGAAACUCAGUAAUUCAAAAAGUAUGGUUCUAGACUUUUUGGAAUGCCCAUCAAAUUGUGAUCUUCACAUUAUGGAACCUAUGGAAGGAGAGAAAUAGAAGAAUUUUCAACAACACUCAUGAAUCGGCAUUGCAAGUGGCGUCAAGAGUCAAAGAGGAUAUUUCAACAAAGGAAGAGGGCAUUAGCUGCGAGGAGAUAAUCUACAAAGCUGUAAUUGUUUCCCUCUCCACCUAUAUAUAAACUUGUAUUUCCUCUCUUAAUUGAAAGGCAAAGCUCCUGCCAUUACGUUCAAAAUAAUUCUGAUAUUUAGCUUUUUGGAAAGCUUAACAAAAGUACUAGAAAUCAUUCAACAUCACCAAGGCAUUAUUCAAGGCUUAAUUAAGUCAAACAAUUCAAACAUCAAGAUCUAUUCAGAAUGGGAAUAAGAUAUCACAGUGCAUUUUUAUUUUUAUAACUGUUAAACUAUGAAUCCUAAAAUCCUAAUAUAAUUACCACUUAUCUAUCAUCACAUCAGUAGCUCGCCAUACAAAUCUAGAGUAUUAAUGAGGAAAGUAGUGCUUACAUAUAUUUCCUUAGCAGCAUCUGAAGACCAUCGGCCUUCCUUGCUGCGUGUGCUCCUCUGUUGACGGUCAUUAAUGCUCACAUUUAACCAUUAAUUAAUCAUGGAAAAGGAUCAAAAUGCAACCAACACCUAGACUUAGGGUUUUAUCUGAUAGAAUUCCAUGAGUUUUGGUGUUUGUCUAUUUCUGCAGGGGUUUAUCUGGAAAUACGGUGGAAAGGCCCACACGUCGUGUUUACAUAGAGAUAUUAACGUGCCGCACAAUUUUCUAUCAUCUAGAAGACUCCAGAAGCCACGGGACCGAAGCGGAGGCCGAGAGGACUCAGGGACAGGGCGCCCGGCCUCCUCUCCUGGGCGCCCGCCCUCAUACAGAGUCCAAUCAGGACUCUCUUUCGAGAUAUUGCUCCACCGACCUAAAGGAUCAAGGAUAACCGUUCAAUCAAUGUCGGUUUGAUCCAACGGCCCAGAUUCACUUGAAGGGACUAUAAAACCAGACCCCCUGGCCCCUAGAGAUCAUACCUCUUCUACGGAAUCAAAGUUAGGGUUUCAAUUCUUUAUCCAAGUAGAGAGGAUCCCUCUAGUUCAUCUAGUUCUAGUUCUAGUUCAUCUAGUUCUAGUUCAUCUAGUUCUAGUUCUAGUUAGUUCUAGUUGUAAUCUAGAAAAUAGGGAGAGAGAUGAGGAGAGCGGAGGAGGAGCCGGAUCUGUCGGAUCUUCCUCAACAUUAUACUUUUGCAGCAUCUGAUUCAUUCUUCAUCGUUCUCUAAGUUCUUCAAUUCAUAAUUCCUGAGUUAUUUAAUUACUUUUAUUUACAUUCAAGUUAUUUAUUGGAUUCCCUCUUGCAUCAAGUGCUCUAGUCUUUAUAACGCUAGAGUAGUAAUUAAUAGAUUAGACGUGGUGUUUAGUCUUGCAAUUACCUGUUAUUGCACUCAAUCCUGCGGAUUAUUGUGGUAGCCCUAGGGUAGUGACAGCCCUAACGGUUGACGUAUUCCACCUCGUUCGGAUCGGUGUUUGUUGGACCGUAGUCAGAGGUUCCUAGCCCCCUUCUCAUCUCUUUCUGUGGUUAGUGUUCUGAUGUCCCGAAAUAGAUAAUCUUGAAGUAAUUCUUGAUUCUUAGAUCAACUAGAGAACUCUCAGGAAACUUCCUCGCUUCCCACCAAAAAUAAUUAUAUAGUUAUCCUUGGGCGAUCUUGAUUCUUAAUUAGUACACUCACGUUCUCUGUGGAAAAUCAAUACUCUAGAAUACUCCCGGGUGAAAGCUACAUCGGUAUUUGUGCGCUUGCGGAUUUUUCUGUUUGCGUUUAAAAUACCCAACAAGCUUUCUGGCGCUGUUGCUGGGGAACGGUAGCUGUGCUAGUUUCGAACCAAGUCGUCCGUGUAUCCUUUUUCUUUUCCUUUUUUACCACACUCACCUUACCAUUUUCACCACACCACAUGGAUUUCACUCCAAGCAUUAAUGAGCAUGGAAUUUAUUUCAUAGCCACGUCGUUUACUCCAUGCUCAUAUGCAACAUCUUCCCAAUCUUUUGGUUUUUCCAACACCACCACAUUCGAGAUCUCCAACCCCCUCAUCCUUUCUAUUUAUAAAAACUUUAAAAGGGCGGUUGUCGAUGCAUAUGUUUAUAAUAAAUUUUGCAGAUCUCGUUGAGUUGAUUUUGAUAUAGGUCAGCGUUGGAGGGGAAACCACUUCGCCGACAUAAAUUGAUGGUUUCCCAAGGACAAGCUUAGUGUCCUAAAAUAAGCACUGAUCAGACUGUAACAUGAGCUUUUAAUUAUUUGCAACAUUACCUUGUGUGUUGAGCAUAUAAGAAUAAUUGUAAAAAUAUUCCUUUGGAUAUUCUUGUCACUAACCUUUCUAGGAUUGGAGCAAGAAGAUCGGAUGAAUGACAAGCACAAGGUAUGUCCAACCAAUCAUCAUACAACAAUGAAUUAAAUUCAUCCAAACUUGAAUUUUGCAAAAUUCAAACUUGGGAGAGACUUUACGUGAAACAUCCUUUGCCAUGUUGCUAUGUUGGUUGUCCCUACCUUUGAGACAUGCUCAAUUUGUUAAAUACUAAUCACACUACUUCAUCUCCACUUGAGUAGAACUCUAUAAAUGCUCUCAUGCUACCUUUAUUUGCUUUAGUAUAUGUCUAGGUUUGGAGUUGUUUCAUUUAUCUCUUAAUUAAGCAUGGUGCUUAGUUUAGGGCUGAUGAUCUUACUUCCAAGGGAGUUUAAAUUAAGCAUGAUGCUUAGGUUAAAAUGCCCUCCUAAAUCAAAUUAGACAUGGUGUCUAGGUUGAUAUUUGAGCCGAUAGUAUGCUAUAGUAGAUAUUGGAUAUUUUGUUGGACUAACCCCUGGAGGAAAACUUUCAAUAUCGACCUGGGAAGUCCUGAGACAAACUCACAUUGGAGAUAAAGAGAGAGGCACAUGAAGUUUAACAAUUUACACAAGGAAGGCAUAGCUCACAAGAGAUGAUCCCUGGAGGGUGCCACAAACACGAUGCACAACCGCUAAGAGAGGAAAGCUUCCACAAGGUGAUACUGUACCAUCACUCUUCAAGUAAGGUAACAUCUUAAGGUACUUGACUAUCACUUUUAUAAGCUUCUCCUUAUUUCUGGCAUUCACAUUAAUAAAAGAGACAAACAUGUAUGAUCUACAACUCUAGAUUAACCAAACCAAUCGAUUCAAUAUGUUUAGUCCUUCCACCGUUGCGAUCCCACACUCCUAAUCAUAUGAGCUAAAAUGUUGCACAUGCAAUCUUUGGAAGAUAUAUAUAAAAAACAACAUAAGUAUAGAUAGAUUAUCUUUCCAUUAGGUUGAGUGAUCUGAUCUGACAAAUGUUUUAAAUGUUACACUCAUGGUCUUAUUAUCCAUCAACUUUGUCUUGCUCACUAUGCUUAAGGUUAGAGAGAACAAAUACACUUUUGGUUCUGUUGGUGUUUUCCACCAACAGGGCCCAUACACUUGAUCUCUGCCUUGUCUCUAUGAGCAGGUACACUUCAAGCAAAAUAUGAAGGAGUUUUACAACUCCUAGACUCCACCAAGUGAAGAACCUAGAUCUACGAGCACAAACACACUGGAGAUACUGGACACUAAGGCAAUCACUGCCCUGAGAUGCUUAAGGACGUUACUACUGGAGUAACCUCGUUGUGGAAGUAAUUACUGACCUUCUGCCAGUCAAGAGAGACAAUCUAGGACGCCCCAUCAUCCCGAUCUCCAUCGGCAUGCUUGCAGAUCGUACGCUAAGUUUCCCAAAGAGAAUAUUGAAGAACCUCUACGUCUGAGUUGGUACCUUAUACGCUCCAGCAGACUUCGUGGUGAUAGAGACUGAUACUGAUGAGAGGGCACCCAUCAUCUUAGGGAGGCCAUUUCUAAACACCUCAGGAGCUAUCAUCUACGCUAGUGCUGCCAAGAUCAGUUUCUACAUCAAGGGGAGGAAGGAGAUGUUUUCCUUCAAGAACAAGACACACAAAUCUCAGAGCAAUCCUGACAUGAACCAAGGAAUAGGACCAACAGGAGGAACAGAAACAAGCAAAUGUGGACCGAGUCAGCUAAAAUGGUCACUGCAAUUCAAGGAGGUCAAGACCAUCAACUCAAGUCGCCUUUCUUGAUCAAGAAGGAUGACCCUGGUGUUCCAAGCAUCGAGUGCACAAUCAACGGAUAUUCCUUUCAGAAGACACUCUACGACACUGGAUCUGACGUCAACAUAAUGGUCGCAGUCACCUAUCAACUCCUGUUCGGAACCAUGCCCCUAAAACCGACAUACAUUCAACUCCAGAUGGCAGAUCAGACAUUCCGAAAGGUUAUUGACAUGAGAGAAGACGAGUACAAUCCACCCAUCAUCCUUGGAAGACCGUUCCUCAGCACUGUUAAAGCAAUCAUCUACAUUGGAACCGGAGAAGUCCACAUGCAUUUCCCCUCUGAUAAGGUACGCCCCUAUUUUACUGACCCUAACUAUAUAGUUGAAGACUUUAAGCAAGUCAGGACAAGAAGAAGACGACACAACCGUAACCAGAGGAGGCAAAUCAUUAAGGACGGAUGGGCAGACUAUGAAGGAGAAGUCGUAAGGUCUGAAGACAUACAGCUUGAACAGAACUGUCCUGAGGAGACCGUAGCACCGAGUCAGGUGUGCAGAAAGAAGAUAGUUAUACACAAAGAGCAGGCUCUGCCGGAACCACCGACUAUGCCAUUCAGCAAAUCCCAGGACGACUGAGAAAACGGAGGGUCCCGUUCGGAGGACUUAAAAACACUGAACGCCUUGCCAAGAGGUAAACUUGGUAGUUAUCUUUUUCCUUUCAAUUAUUUUAAAAUAGUUUGCUUAGUUAAUCAGGUUCACAUCAUCUUGAAAAGAAAAUAAAAAUAUUAAGCCCCAUGUGGUUAUGCUCAUGGCAUAAAACCCAUAAGUACAUUCACUGUGGUGGCGUAAAAAUAAAAUAACUAUAUUCCUAUCCUAUAAAAAUAAAAUUAUAAAAAUAGAUUUAUGAUCCCACUAAAAAGAGUAAUAUUUAUUGAGGAGACUCAACAUGAUAAAGGCUAGAUAUUUAUGCUAACACUUAACUAGUUCCACAAGCUUUGUUGUCUAUUUGAGCUCCACAAAAUUCAAGGAUCAAAGAAGACUAGCAGACGGAGGACAUCCUAGUCGCCGUCACGGUGCUGCUGACAUUCAAAUAUACCUUCGCCAUCUGCUAGCUACAUCAGAAGGAAUUACGUCAAAAUCCAGCUUGGGGGAGAGCACCUCCAUUUAUCCAGCUAAGUAUUCUACUCACGUUUAUAUUUUACUCAAAUAAUAAAAAGAUGCAUAAUCGUAAAAACCCAAAUAAAGAUUUUGUGCUUAUAUAUAUAUCUUUGCUUAGUUUGCUAAAUAAAUAAAUAAAUAAAAUUUGCUAUGAACCCUCAUGAUGAGCUCUCACAUGGAAAGAUGAAUAGUUGCUCUGCCAUGACUAGUUCUCAAAAUUGAAAUCUCUCUCAAGUUUAGGCAUCACUGUUAUUAAUUAAGAUUUGCUCUAAACCUGAACUUGUGGGAAGAGUACUUGAUCUGAAGUCUAAGUCGUUAACGGAUAUGAUAUGGGAAGGUUGAGCUGCUGUUUAUCUGUUCCUAGAGAUGCUAGAAUUCUGGAGAAUUUUAUCUUUGAAAAUCUUUAAAAUAUCACAUGAUGAGUUCCUGUAUGAUGAGAGUUUAAAUUCCUACCACAGCCAUAUAUACAUGCUUGCUAGACUAUGAGCCACACAUUUACUUUUUACUGCUUAUGAGCAUUGAGUGUGGUCAAGCUUUGUAGACCCUUAGGAGCUUGUCAUGUGGUUAAGUCAAGAUUCACUUGCACGUUCACUCAUACAUGCUACUUCUACCCUGGAAGUACCAUCCACAUAUACCCAUUCCCAUCUCCAGAACCACCCAAAAAUAUUCUACUCCUAAUCCGGGAGAGAAUAGCCAAAAAUAUUUCUAUUUUUUCCCUAUGAAAUAAAUGCUCAAGUUAUCUUGUCACUACCACUUGCUAUAUUAUCUCAUGAGAUGAGUGCUCUAAAGAAAAAAGAGAAAAAAAAAGAAGAAUACGAGGAAAUAAAAAGGGGCAAUUGCCCGGAACCUCGAAAGAAAAAAAAAGAAAAAUAAGUGAGACGAGAGGUAAAAAUGGACAAGUGUCCGACAGUAGAAUUAGGGGUACAAGAUACCCACCUGAGAGAAAAGAAAAAAAGAAAAAGAAAGAAAAAAGAAAAUAUAGAGCAUCUCAUUCUCCUCAAAAAGUUUCAAAAGAGCAAGAAAGGUAUGUAUCCCCUCAAAAGAGCAUAAGUAGAAUUAGACUUUCACCAUUGUUAUCACCAUCAUCACCAUACACCAUUCAUUCGCCACACAUGCACAUCUUGAUUUGACUUAUUGACUUGUUCUUCUGGAUCCAUGGUUUGACUAUGCAAUAUAUGUCUUGUAAGUAUGUAUUAGCUGUCUCCCACCUAUGAGCUCCAGAUAUCAAAACCUUAUUAGAGUAGGGUGAGAGAGAAGGCAAUGUCACUAUGCCUUAUACCACAAAUACCACAUACUUUGAGAGAAGGCAUAUACCAUUACUGCCUUGGUAAGGAUCCAGAAAUACCACAAAAGAGAGAGUAGAGAGAGUCAUACAAGGAAUCUCUGAGUUUUAUUUGAAAAUCUGCAAAAACUCCAGAGCUAUAGUUAAUCGAAAAACAAGAGACAUGGUGCUUGACUAGACUGUUCUAUCUUUUAACUACUAAAGACAGAAGUGAUGGUUACAAGUCCCAUGGUGAAAGGUAAAUGAGUAAGUUUUAAGUCUUAACAGUUUACUCUAACCAGAGAUGAGAUCUUGUUUAAACACAUGUGUAUCUUUAAGUUAUGAAACCACUGCAGAAACUCUUGAGUCCAUCUUUGCUUAGGGACGAGCAAAGGUUAAGCUUGGGGGAGCUUGUUGACGGUCCUUAAUGCUCACAUUUAACCAUAAACUAAUCAUGGAAAAGGAUCCAAAUGCAACCAACACCUAGACUUAGGGUUUUAUCUGACAGAAUUCCACGAGUUUUGGUGUUUGUCUAUUUCUGCAGGGGGUUAUCAGGAAAUACGGAAGAAAGGCCCACACAUCGGGUUUACAUAGAGAUAUUAACGUGCCGCGUAAUUUUCUAUCAUCUAGAAGACUCCAGAAGCCACGGGACCGAACGGAAGACGUAACGGAGCCGGGCACUGGGCGCCCGCCCUCCCCCCUGGACCAAUCAGGGCGAAGUUCGGGGAUCAUGCUCCACCGACCUAAUACUUCAAGGAAAACCACACGAUCAAUGUCGGUUUGAUCCGACGGCCCAGAUUCACUUGAAGGGACUAUAAAACCAGACCCCCCUAGCCCCUGGAGAUCGUACCUCUUCUACAGAAUCAAAGCUAGGGUUUCAAUUCUUCAUCCAAGUAGAGAGGAUCCCUCUAGUUCUUCUAGUUCUACCUCUAGUUCAUCUAGAUCUAGUUCUAGUUCAUCUAGUUCUAGUUCUAGUUUCUCUAGUUCUAGUUCUAGUUAGUUCUAGUUGUAAUCUAGAAAAUAGGCAGAGAGAAGAGGAGAGCAGAGGAGGAGCCGGAUCUGUCGGAUCUUCCUCAACAUUAUACUUUUGCAGCAUCUGGUUCGUUCUUCAUCGUUCUCCAGGUUCUUCAAUUCAUAAUUCCUGAGUUCUUUAAUUACUUUUAAGUUAUUUAUUGGAUUCCCGCUUGCAUCAAGUGCUCUAGUCUUUAUAACGCUAGAGUAGUAAUUAAUAGAUUAGACGUGGUGUUUAGUCUUGCGAUUACCUGGAAUUGCACCCAAUCCCACGGAUUGUUGUGGUAGCCCUAGGGUAGUGACAGCCCUAACGGUCGACGUAUUCGACCACGUUCGGAUCGGUGUUUGUAGGACCGUAGUCAGACCUUCCUAGCCCCCUUCUCAUCUCUUUCUGUGGUUAGUGCUCUGAUGUCCCGAUAUAAAUAAUCUUUGAAGUAAUUCUUGAUUCUUAGAUCAACUAGAGAACUCUCAGGAAACUUCCUCUGUUCCCACCAAAAAUAAUCAUAUAGUUAUCCUUGGGCGAUCUUGGAUCUUAAUUAGUACACUCACGUUCCCUGUGGAAAAUCGAUACUCUGGAAUACUCCCGGGUGAAAGCUACAUCGGUAUCCGUGCGCUUGCGGAUUUUUCUGUUUGCGUUUAAAAUACCCAACAAGCUUUCUGGCGCCGUUGCCGGGGAACGGUAGCUGUACUAGUUUCGAACAAAGUCGUCCGUGUAUCCUUUUUCUUUUCCUUUUUCACCACACUCACCUUAUCAUUUUCACCAUACCACAUGGAUUUCACUCUAAGCAUUAAUGAGCAUGGAAUUUAUUUCAUAGCCACUUCAUUUACUCCAUGCUCAUAUGCAACAUCUUCACAAUCCAUUGGUUUUUCCAACACCACCACAUUCGAGAUCUCCAACCCCCUCAUCCUUUCUAUUUAUAAAAACUUUAAAAGGGCGGUUGUCGAUGCAUAUGUCUAUAAUAAAUUUUGCAGAUCUCAUUGAGUUGAUCUUGAUAUAGGUCAGCGUGGGAGGGGAAACCACUUCGCCGACAUAAAUUGAUGGUUUCCCAAGGACAAGCUUAGUGUCCUAAAAUAAGCACUGAUCAGACCGUAACAUGAGCUUUUAAUUAUUUGCAACAUUACCUUGUGUGUUGCGCAUAUAAGAAUAAUUGUAAAAAUAUUCCUUUGGAUAUUCUUGUCACUAACCUUUCUAGGAUUGGAGCAAGAAGAUCGGAUGAAUGACAAGCACAAGGUAUGUCCAACCAAUCAUCAUACAACAUUGAAUUAAAUUCAUCCAAACUUGAAUUUUGCAAAAUUCAAGCUUGGGGGAGACUUUACAUGAAACAUCCUUUGCCAUGUUGCUAUGUUGGUUGUCCCUACCUUUGAGACAUGCUCAAUUUGUUAAAUACUAAUCACACUACUUCAUCUCCACUUGAGUAGAACUCUAUAAAUGCUCUCAUGCUACCUUUAUUUGCUUUAGUAUAUGUCUAGGUUUGGAGUCGUUUCAUUUAUCUCUUAAUUAAGCAUGGUGCUUAGUUUAGGGCUGAUGAUCUUAUUUCCGAGGGAGUUUAAAUUAAGCAUGAUGCUUAGGUUAAAAUGCCCUCCUAAAUCAAAUUAGACAUGGUGUCUAGGUUGAUCUUUGAGCCGAUAGUAUGCUAUAGUAAACAUUGGAUAUUUUGUUGGACUAACCCCUGCAGGAAAACUUUCAAUAUCGACCUGGGAAGUCCUGAGACAAACUCACAUUGGAGAUAAAGAGAGAGGCACAUGAAGUUUAACAAUUUACACAAGGAAGGCAUAGGUCACAAGAGAUGAUCCCUGGAGGGUGCCACAAACACGAUGCACAACCGCUAAGAGAGGAAAGCUUCCACAAGGUGAUACUGUACCAUCACUCUUCAAGUAAGGUAACAUCUUAAUGUACUUGACUAUCACUUUUAUAAGCUUCUCCUUAUUUCUGGCAUUCACAUGAAUAAAAGAGACAAACAUGUAUGAUCUACAACUCUAGAUUAACCAAACCAAUCGAUUCAAUAUGUUUAGUCCUUCCACCGUUGUGAUCCCACACUCCUAAUCAUAUGAGCUAAAAUGUUGCACAUGCAAUCUUUGGAAGAUAUAUAUAAAAAAACAACAUAAGUAUAGAUAGAUUAUCUUUCCAUUAGGUUGAGUGAUCUGAUCUGACAAAUGUUUUAAAUGUUACACUCAUGGUCUUAUUAUCCAUCAACUUUGUCUUGCUCACUAUGCUUAAGGUUUGAGAGAACAAAUACACUUUUGGUUUUGUUGGUAUUUUCCACCAACAGGGCCCAUACACUUGAUCUCUGCCUUGUCUCUAUGAGCAGGUACACUUCAAGCAAAAUAUGAAGGAGUUUUACAACUCCUAGACUCCACCAAGUGAAGAACCUAGAUCUACGAGCACAAACACACUGGAGAUACUGGACACUCAGGCAAUCACUGCCCUGAGAUGCUUAAGGACGCUACUACUGGAGUAACCCCGUUGUGGAUGUAAUUACUGACCUUCUGCCGGUCAAGAGAGACAAUCUAGGAUGCCCCAUCAUCCCGAUCUCCAUCGGCAUGCUUGCAGAUCGUACGCUAAGUUUCCCAAAGAGAAUAUUGAAGAACCUCUACGUCUGAGUUGGUACCUUAUACGCUCCAGCAGACUUCGUGGUGAUAGAGACUGAUACUGAUGAGAGGGCACCCAUCAUCUUAGGGAGGCCAUUCCUAAACACCUCAGGACCUGUCAUCUACGCUAGUGCUGCCAAGAUCAGUUUCUACAUCACGGGGAGGAAGGAGAUGUUUUCCUUCAAGAACAAGACACACAAAUCUCAGAGCAAUCCUGACAUGAACCAAGGAAGAGGACCAACACGAGGAACAGAAACAAGCAAAUGUGGACCGAGUCAGCUAAGAUGGUCACUGCAAUUCAAGGAGGUCAAGACCAUCAACUCAAGUCGCCUUUCUUGAUCAAGAAGGAUGACCCUGGUGUUCCAAGCAUCGAGUGCACAAUCAACGGAUAUUCUUUUCAGAAGACACUCUACGACACUGGAUCUGACGUCAACAUAAUGGUCGCAGUCACCUAUCAACUCCUGUUCGGAACCAUGCCCCUAAAACCGACAUACAUUCAACUCCAGAUGGCAGAUCAGACAUUCCGAAAGGUUAUUGACAUGAGAGAAGACGAGUACAAUCCACCCAUCAUCCUUGGAAGACCGUUCCUCAGCACUGUUAAAGCAAUCAUCUACAUUGGAACCGGAGAAGUCCACAUGCAUUUCCCCUCUGAUAAGGUACGCCACUAUUUUACUGACCCUAACUAUAUAGUUGAAAACUCUAAGUAGGUCAGGACAAGAAGAAGACGACACAACCGUAACCAGAGGAGGCAAAUCAUCAAGGACGGAUGGGCAGACUAUGAAGGAGAAGUCGUAAGGUCUGAAGACAUACAGCUUGAACAGAACUGUCCUGAGGAGACCGUAGCACCGAGUCAGGUGUGCAGAAAGAAGAUAGUUAUACACAAAGAGCAGGCUCUGCCGGAACCACCGACUAUGCCAUUCAGCAAAUCCCAGGACGACUGAGAAAACGGAGGGUCCCGUUCGGAGGACUUAAAAACACCGAACGCCUUGCCAAGCGGUAAACUUGGUAGUUAUCUUUUUCCUUUCAAUUAUUUUAAAAUAGUUUGCUUAGUUAAUCAGGUUCACAUCAUCUUGAAAAGAAAAUAAAAAUAGUAAGCCCCAUGUGGUUAUGCUCAUGGCAUAAAACCCAUAAGUACAUUCACUGUGGUGGCGUAAAAAUAAAAUAAAUAUAUUCCUGUCCUAUAAAAAUAAAAUUAUAAAAAUAGAUUUAUGAUCCCACUAAAAAGAGUAAUAUUUAUUGAGGAGACUCAACAUGAUAAAGGCUAGAUAUUUAUGCUAACACUUAACUAGUUCCACAAGCUUUGUUGUCUAUUUGAGCUCCACAGAAUUCAAGGAUCAAAGAAGACUAGCAGACGGAGGACAUCCUAGUCGCCGUCAGGGUGCUGCUGACAUUCAAAUAUACCUUCGCCACCUGCUAGCUACAUCAGAAGGAAUUACGUCAAAAUCCAGCUUGGGGGAGAGCACCUCCAUUUAUCCAGCUAAGUAUUCUACUCACGUUUAUAUUUUACUCAAAUAAUAAAAAGAUGCAUAAUCGUAAAAACCCAAAUAAAGAUUUUUUGCUUAUAUAUAUAUCUUUGCUUAGUCUGCUAAAUAAAUAAAUAAAUAAAAUUUGCUAUGAACCCUCAUGAUAAGCUCUCACAUGGAAAGAUGAAUAGUUGCUCUGCCAUGACUAGUUCUCAAAAUUGAAAUCUCUCUCAAGUUUAGGCAUCACUGUUAUUAAUUAAGAUUUGCUCUAAACCUGAACUUGUGGGAAGAGUACUUGAUCUGAAGUCUAAGUCAUUAACGGAUAUGAUAUGGGAAGGUUAAGCUGUUGUUUAUCUGUUCCUAGAGAUGCUAGAAUUCUGGAGAAUUUUAUCUUUGAAAAUCUUUAAAAUAUCACAUGAUGAGUUCCUGUAUGAUGAGAGUUUAAAUUCCUACCACAGCCAUAUAUACAUGCUUGCUAGACUAUGAGCCACACAUUUACUUUUUACUGCUUAUGAGCAUUGAGUGUGGUCAAGCUUUGUAGACCCUUAGGAGCUUGUCAUGUGGUUAAGUCAAGAUUCACUUGCACGUUCACUCAUACAUGCUACUUCUACUCUGGAAGUACCAUCCACAUAUACCCAUUUCCAUCUCCAGAACCACCCAAAAAUAUUCUACUCCUAAUCCGGGAGAGAAUAGCCAAAAAUAUUUCUAUUUUUUCCCUGUGAAAUAAAUGCUCAAGUUAUCUUGUCACUACCACUUGCUAUAUUAUCUCAUGAGAUGAGUGCUCUAAAGAAAAAAGAUAAAAAAAGAAGAAUACGAGGAAAUAAAAAGGGGCAAUUGCCCGGAACCUCGAAAGAAAAAAAAGAAGAAAAAGUGAGACGAGAGGUAAAAAUGGACAAGUGUCCGACAGUAGAAUUAGGGGUACAAGAUACCCACCUGAGAGAAAAGAGAAAAAGAAAUAUAGAGCAUCUUAUUCUCCUCAAAAAGUUUCAAAAGAGCAAGAAAGGUAUGUAUCCCCUCAAAAGAGCAUAAGUAGAAUUAGACUUUCACCAUUGUUAUCACCAUCAUCACCAUACACCAUUCAUUCGCCACACAUGCACAUCUUGAUUUGACUUAUUGACUUGUUCUUCUGGAUCUAUGGUUUGACUAUGCAAUAUAUGUCUUGUAAGUAUGUAUUAGCUGUCUCCCACCUAUGAGCUCCAGGUAUCAAAACCUUAUUAGAGUAGGGUGAGAGAGAAGGCAAUGUCACUAUACCUUAUACCACAAAUACCACAUACUUUGAGAGAAGGCAUAUACCAUUACUGCCUUGGUAAGGAUCUAGAAAUACCACAAAAGAGAGACUAGAGAGAGUCAUACAAGGAAUCUCUGAGUUUUAUUUGAAAAUCUGCAAAAACUCCAGAGCUAUAGUUAAUCGAAGAACAAGAGACAUGGUGCUUGACUAGACUGUUCUAUCUUUUAACUACUCAAGACAGAAGUGAUGGUUACAAGUCCCAUGGUGAAAGGUAAAUGAGUAAGUUUUAAGUCUUAACAGUUUACUCUAACCAGAGAUGAGAUCUUGUUUAAACGCAUGUGUAUCUUUAAGUUAUGAAACCACUGCAGAAACUCUUGAGUCCAUCUUUGCUCAGGGACGAGCAAAGGUUAAGCUUGGGGGAGCUUGUUGACGGUCCUUAAUGCUCACAUUUAACCAUCAACUAAUCAUGGAAAAGGAUCCAAAUGCAACCAACACCUAGACUUAGGGUUUUAUCUGACAGAAUUCCACGAGUUUUGGUGUUUGUCUAUUUCUGCAGGGGGUUAUCAGGAAAUACGGAAGAAAGGCCCACACGUCGGGUUUACAUAGAGAUAUUAACGUGCCGCGCAAUUUUCUAUCAUCUAGAAGACUCCAGAAGCCACGGGACCGAACGGGAGACGUAACGGAGCCGGGCACUGGGCGCCCGCCCUCCCCCCUGGACCAAUCAGGGCGAAGUUCGGGGAUCAUGCUCCACCGACCUAAUACUUCAAGGAAAACCACACGAUCAAUGUCGAUUUGAUCCGACGGCCCAGAUUCACUUGAAGGGACUAUAAAACCAGACCCCCCUGGCCCC
This 39652-nucleotide long non-coding RNA is filed under the name Sorghum bicolor (sorghum). RNAcentral's name for it is "long non-coding RNA (SBIC_LNC017682)". Lineage: Eukaryota; Viridiplantae; Streptophyta; Magnoliopsida; Poales; Poaceae. The record is from RNAcentral.